RNAcentral lists this ribosomal RNA (449 nucleotides) under uncultured bacterium. RNAcentral describes it as "partial 16S ribosomal RNA". It matches the Rfam family "Bacterial small subunit ribosomal RNA", at positions 354 to 796 of the family's 1533-position model. The record is from RNAcentral.
GUGGGGAAUAUUGCACAAUGGGCGCAAGCCUGAUGCAGCCAUGCCGCGUGUGUGAAGAAGGCCUUCGGGUUGUAAAGCACUUUCAGCGGGGAGGAAGGCGAUAAGGUUAAUAACCUUGUCGAUUGACGUUACCCGCAGAAGAAGCACCGGCUAACUCCGUGCCAGCAGCCGCGGUAAUACGGAGGGUGCAAGCGUUAAUCGGAAUUACUGGGCGUAAAGCGCACGCAGGCGGUCUGUCAAGUCGGAUGUGAAAUCCCCGGGCUCAACCUGGGAACUGCAUUCGAAACUGGCAGGCUAGAGUCUUAGAGGGGGGUAGAAUUCCAGGUGUAGCGGUGAAAUGCGUAGAGAUCUGGAGGAAUACCGGUGGCGAAGGCGGCCCCCUGGACAAAGACUGACGCUCAGGUGCGAAAGCGUGGGGAGCAAACAGGAUUAGAAACCCCUGUUAGUCC